GGACGAUUAGCUCAGCUGGUUAGAGCGCGCCGUUCACAUCGGCGAGGUCUGAGGUUCGAGUCCUCAAUCGUCCACCA
Molecule: transfer RNA, 77 nt
Filed under: Patescibacteria group bacterium
Lineage: Bacteria
Description: tRNA-Val
Rfam family: tRNA
About the family: Transfer RNA (tRNA) molecules are approximately 80 nucleotides in length. Their secondary structure includes four short double-helical elements and three loops (D, anti-codon, and T loops).
Source: RNAcentral